RNAcentral lists this ribosomal RNA (327 nucleotides) under uncultured eukaryote. Its description in RNAcentral is "partial 18S ribosomal RNA". It matches the Rfam family "Eukaryotic small subunit ribosomal RNA", at positions 1470 to 1796 of the family's 1831-position model. The record is from RNAcentral.
CCCUUAGAUGUUCUGGGCCGCACACGCGCUACACUGAAGGAGGCAGCGUGUACUCCUGGUUCGAAAGAUUUGGGUAACCCGCGAAUCUCCUUCGUGCUAGGGAUUGAGGUUUGCAAUUAUCCUUCAUGAACGAGGAAUUCCCAGUAAGUGCAAGUCAUAAGCUUGCGCUGACUACGUCCCUGCCCUUUGUACACACCGCCCGUCGCUACUACCGAUUGAAUGAUUUAGUGAGGACUUCGGACUGGGACCGAUGCGGCUUUCGGGCUGCGUCGGUAUUCUGGAAAGAUGUCCAAACUGUAUCAUUUAGAGGAAGUAAAAGUCGUAACA